CCUACGGGAGGCAGCAGUGAGGAAUUUUCCGCAAUGGGCGAAAGCCUGACGGAGCAAUGCCGCGUGGAGGAGGAAGGCCUGUGGGUCGUAAACUCCUUUUCUCAGAGAAGAAGUUCUGACGGUAUCUGAGGAAUAAGCAUCGGCUAACUCUGUGCCAGCAGCCGCGGUAAUACAGGGGAUGCAAGCGUUAUCCGGAAUUAUUGGGCGUAAAGCGUCCUGAGGUGGCUUACCCAGUCGACUGUGAAAGCUCAAGGCUUAACCUUGAAACGGCAGUCGAAACUUGUAAGCUUGAGUACGGUAGGGGCAGAGGGAAUUCCCGGAGGAGAGGUGAAAUUCGUAGAUAUCGGGAGGAAGGCCAAAGGCGAAAGCACUCUGCUGGGCCGAUUACUGACACUGACAGGCGAAAGCUAGGGGAGCGAAAGGGAUUAGAUACCCCUGUAGUCCUAGCCGUAAACGAUGGAUACUAAGUGUUGCGCGACUCAAAACGUGCAGUGCUGCAGCUACGCGGUAGUAUCCGCCGUGGGAGUAGUGCCGCCGAGGUAGAACGUACAAGGAAGUUAGACGGCGUGAGACGUGCCGACGGACGACGACGAGGGAGGUAGG
Molecule: ribosomal RNA, 603 nt
Filed under: uncultured bacterium
Lineage: Bacteria
Description: bacterial SSU rRNA
Rfam family: Bacterial small subunit ribosomal RNA (bases 1-519)
Source: RNAcentral